UGGGGAAUAUUGCACAAUGGGGGAAACCCUGAUGCAGCAACGCCGCGUGAAGGACGACGUAUUUCGGUAUGUAAACUUCUAUCAGCAGGGAAGAAAAUGACGGUACCUGACUAAGAAGCCCCGGCUAACUACGUGCCAGCAGCCGCGGUAAUACGUAGGGGGCAAGCGUUAUCCGGAUUUACUGGGUGUAAAGGGAGCGUAGGCGGCGAGGCAAGUCAGAAGUGAAAACCCAGGGCUCAACUCUGGGAUUGCUUUUGAAACUGCUUUGCUUGAUUUCAGGAGAGGUAAGCGGAAUUCCUAGUGUAGCGGUGAAAUGCGUAGAUAUUAGGAGGAACACCAGUGGCGAAGGCGGCUUACUGGACUGACAAUGACGCUGAGGCUCGAAAGCGUGGGGAGCAAACAGGAUUAGAUACCCUGGUAGU
Molecule: ribosomal RNA, 422 nt
Filed under: uncultured Coprococcus sp.
Lineage: Bacteria; Bacillati; Bacillota; Clostridia; Lachnospirales; Lachnospiraceae
Description: bacterial SSU rRNA
Rfam family: Bacterial small subunit ribosomal RNA
Source: RNAcentral